Molecule: small nucleolar RNA, 132 nt
Filed under: Chinchilla lanigera (long-tailed chinchilla)
Lineage: Eukaryota; Metazoa; Chordata; Mammalia; Rodentia; Chinchillidae
Description: Small nucleolar RNA SNORA72 (ENSCLAG00000018919.1)
Rfam family: Small nucleolar RNA SNORA72
About the family: U72 is a member of the H/ACA class of snoRNAs.
Source: Rfam by way of RNAcentral
UUGCAAAUAUUCUCACUGUUCUGAUUGUGUCAUAAUCAGGGCAGGCUAAACAUUUGCUCUAGUAAGACCAUGCAUGUAUCCCCAGACCUAGAUCUUUCCCUAGGUCUGGUUUUCUAAAUGCUGGUGAUAAAC